UCCGUAGGUGAACCUGCGGAAGGAUCAUUACAGAGUUCAUGCCCGAAAGGGUAGACCUCCCACCCUUGUGUAUUAUUACUUUGUUGCUUUGGCGAGCUGCUCUUCGGGGCCUUGUAUGCUCGCCAGAGAAUAUCAAAACUCUUUUUAUUAAUGUCGUCUGAGUACUAUAUAAUAGUUAAAACUUUCAACAACGGAUCUCUUGGUUCUGGCAUCGAUGAAGAACGCAGCGAAAUGCGAUAAGUAAUGUGAAUUGCAGAAUUCAGUGAAUCAUCGAAUCUUUGAACGCACAUUGCGCCCCUUGGUAUUCCGGGGGGCAUGCCUGUUCGAGCGUCAUUUCAACCCUCAAGCUCAGCUUGGUAUUGAGUCCAUGUCAGUAAUGGCAGGCUCUAAAAUCAGUGGCGGCGCCGCUGGGUCCUGAACGUAGUAAUAUCUCUCGUUACAGGUUCUCGGUGUGCUUCUGCCAAAACCCAAAUUUUCUAUGGUUGACCUCGGAUCAGGUAGGGAUACCCGCUGAACUUAAGCAUAUCAAUAAGCGGAGGAAA
Molecule: ribosomal RNA, 542 nt
Filed under: Sclerotinia sclerotiorum
Lineage: Eukaryota; Fungi; Ascomycota; Leotiomycetes; Helotiales; Sclerotiniaceae
Description: eukaryotic LSU rRNA
Rfam family: 5.8S ribosomal RNA (bases 180-333)
Source: RNAcentral